This 304-nucleotide ribosomal RNA is filed under the name uncultured Chloroflexota bacterium. Its description in RNAcentral is "bacterial SSU rRNA". It matches the Rfam family "Bacterial small subunit ribosomal RNA", at positions 28 to 351 of the family's 1533-position model. The record is from RNAcentral. Lineage: Bacteria; Bacillati; Chloroflexota.
GACGAACGCUGGCGACGUGCCUAAUGCAUGCAAGUCGAACGCGGGGAGCUUGCUCCGCCGCGUGGCGCACGGCUGAGGAACACGUGGGUAUCAACCCUGGAGUGGGGGAUACCCCAUCGAAAGAUGGGACAAUCCCGCAUACGUUCCGCAAGGAAGAAAGGCGCAAGCCGCUCUAGGACGAGCCUGCGGCCCAUCAGGUAGUUGGCGGGGUAACGGCCCACCAAGCCUUUGACGGGUCCCUGGUCUGAGAGGACGACCAGGCAGACUGGGACUGAGACACGGCCCAGACUCCUACGGGAGGCAG